UACGGAGGGUGCAAGCGUUAUCCGGAUUCACUGGGUUUAAAGGGUGCGUAGGCGGGCAGGUAAGUCAGUGGUGAAAUCCCCGGGCUUAACUUGGGAACUGCCGUUGAUACUAUCUGUCUUGAAUAUCGUGGAGGUGAGCGGAAUAUGUCAUGUAGCGGUGAAAUGCUUAGAUAUGACAUAGAACACCCAUUGCGAAGGCAGCUCACUACACGAUAAUUGACGCUGAGGCACGAAAGCGUGGGGAUCAAACAGG
RNAcentral lists this ribosomal RNA (253 nucleotides) under uncultured bacterium. RNAcentral describes it as "partial 16S ribosomal RNA". It matches the Rfam family "Bacterial small subunit ribosomal RNA", at positions 524 to 776 of the family's 1533-position model. The record is from RNAcentral.